This 957-nucleotide long non-coding RNA is filed under the name Equus caballus (horse). RNAcentral's name for it is "lncRNA (ENSECAG00000053421.1)". The record is from RNAcentral. Lineage: Eukaryota; Metazoa; Chordata; Mammalia; Perissodactyla; Equidae.
UUAUUUGUAACAGUCAAAAAGUGGAAACAGCCCCAAGUCCAUCAACAAGAGAGAGGGUAGCGUGGUCUACCCUCAUCACAGAUAAUGCUCAGUUGUGAGAUGACCAACGACUGACACAAGAAGCAGCGUGAGGAUCGCAAAACAUUUUGCUGAGGGAAAGCAGUCAGACACCAAGGAGCGUGUGCUGUGUGCUUCCACACCUGUGAGGUCCUAGAACAGGUUUGUUGCAGUGUGGGACCUGAAACCAAAUCAACGGACUUUUUGUGCUCUGUCCAUCUGUGAGAGAAUGAGGAUGAAGAAGACAAACAACACUGUGGUGUUAUUACCAAUCUAGGUUUGGCCUCACAGACCCUGAAAGGACCUCAGGAACCCUGCGGUCCCCAGACCACACUUUGAGAACCGCUGUGCUGUCAUCAGGGCCUGUCCGGAGCCCCCAGAGCUCUCUGUGAGACCUCCCUCGGUGUCGGCUGUCUGGAGGGGUCGUGGGCCCGAACCCCUGGCCUCCUGGACAUUUUGAAGGUGAGCCAGCACCCACCUCCCAUGUCCCCAGGCUCCCAGCGCCCCACACAGCCCCCACAGUGGAAGGCAGACCCCUGAGCUCCAUUUUGCAGGUGAAGAAUGAAAGAGGAUUGGGAGAGGGUGAGGCCCCGAAAGUCACGCCAUGACUCCCGGGGCUGCGGAGCACCACAGGGCGGGGCCUGGUGGGCCCAGGGGGUCUGGGUGUGGGUCUCUGCGACUUACGGAUGCUGGGCUACAUCGGGCUGUCCCCAAGGACCCUUGUGUAGCCGGGAGGAUGGUAGCUUGCUGCAUGUCCUGGUCCCUCGUCACCGAGCUCACCAGCAUGGCCUCUGAAGGGUCUGCAGGCCAUGCACCCCAGCUGGCUCCCAGGUGGGUCCUUGAGUCCCCCCAGGUGCAGCACGCCUGGGGGAGAGGAACGCAGGGAGGGGGUGCUCAGGG